This 326-nucleotide unclassified non-coding RNA is filed under the name soil metagenome. RNAcentral describes it as "partial contains 5.8S ribosomal RNA, internal transcribed spacer 2, and large subunit ribosomal RNA". The stretch from base 1 to 120 matches the Rfam family "5.8S ribosomal RNA", at positions 35 to 154 of the family's 154-position model. The record is from RNAcentral.
GAUGAAGAACGUAGCGAAAUGCGAUACGUAGUGUGAAUUGCAGAAUCCAGUGAAUCAUCGAAUCUUUGAACGCACAUUGCGCCCCUUGGUAUUCCGAGGGGCAUGCCUGUUCGAGCGUCAUAUUAACCACUCCCGCUUGCGGGGUCUUGGGCUUCGCCUCCGGGCGGGCCUUAAAAUCAGUGGCGGUGCCGUCGGGCUCUACGCGUAGUAAAUUUUCUCGCGAUAGGGUCCCGGUGGAUGCUUGCCAACAACCCCCAACUUCUUAAGGUUGACCUCGGAUCAGGUAGGGAUACCCGCUGAACUUAAGCAUAUCAAUAAGCGGAGGA